GGUUAAGCGACUAAGCGUACACGGUGGAUGCCCUGGCAGUCAGAGGCGAUGAAGGACGUGCUAAUCUGCGAAAAGCGUCGGUAAGGUGAUAUGAACCGUUAUAACCGGCGAUGUCCGAAUGGGGAAACCCAGUGCAAUUCGUUGCACUAUCGUUAACUGAAUACAUAGGUUAACGAGGCGAACCGGGGGAACUGAAACAUCUAAGUACCCCGAGGAAAAGAAAUCAACCGAGAUUCCCCCAGUAGCGGCGAGCGAACGGGGAGCAGCCCAGAGUCUGAAUCAGCUUGUGUGUUAGUGGAACGGUCUGGAAAGUCCGACGGUACAGGGUGAUAGUCCCGUACACCAAAAUGCACAGGCUGUGAACUCGAAGAGUAGGGCGGGACACGUGGUAUCCUGUCUGAAUAUGGGGGACCAUCCUCCAAGGCUAAAUACUCCUGACUGACCGAUAGUGAACCAGUACCGUGAGGGAAAGGCGAAAAGAACCCCGGCGAGGGGAGUGAAAAAGAACCUGAAACCGUGUACGUACAAGCAGUGGGAGCACCUUCGGGUGUGACUGCGUACCUUUUGUAUAAUGGGUCAGCGACUUAUAUUCUGUAGCAAGGUUAACCGUAUAGGGGAGCCGCAGGGAAACCGAGUCUUAACUGGGCGUUAAGUUGCAGGGUAUAGACCCGAAACCCGGUGAUCUAGCCAUGGGCAGGUUGAAGGUUGGGUAACACUAACUGGAGGACCGAACCGACUAAUGUUGAAAAAUUAGCGGAUGACUUGUGGCUGGGGGUGAAAGGCCAAUCAAACCGGGAGAUAGCUGGUUCUCCCCGAAAGCUAUUUAGGUAGCGCCUCGUGAAUUCAUCUUCGGGGGUAGAGCACUGUUUCGGCUAGGGGGUCAUCCCGACUUACCAACCCGAUGCAAACUACGAAUACCGAAGAAUGUUAUCACGGGAGACACACGGCGGGUGCUAACGUCCGUCGUGAAGAGGGAAACAACCCAGACCGCCAGCUAAGGUCCCAAAGUCAUGGUUAAGUGGGAAACGAUGUGGGAAGGCACAGACAGCCAGGAUGUUGGCUUAGAAGCAGCCAUCAUUUAAAGAAAGCGUAAUAGCUCACUGGUCGAGUCGGCCUGCGCGGAAGAUGUAACGGGGCUAAACCAUGCACCGAAGCUGCGGCAGCGACACUAUGUGUUGUUGGGUAGGGGAGCGUUCUGUAAGCCUGCGAAGGUGACCUGUGAGGGUUGCUGGAGGUAUCAGAAGUGCGAAUGCUGACAUAAGUAACGAUAAAGCGGGUGAAAAGCCCGCUCGCCGGAAGACCAAGGGUUCCUGUCCAACGUUAAUCGGGGCAGGGUGAGUCGACCCCUAAGGCGAGGCCGAAAGGCGUAGUCGAUGGGAAACAGGUUAAUAUUCCUGUACUUGGUGUUACUGCGAAGGGGGACGGAGAAGGCUAUGUUAGCCGGGCGACGGUUGUCCCGGUUUAAGCAUGUAGGCUGGUUAUCCAGGCAAAUCCGGAUAAUCAAGGCUGAGGUGUGAUGACGAGGCACUACGGUGCUGAAGUAACAAAUGCCCUGCUUCCAGGAAAAGCCUCUAAGCAUCAGGUAACAUCAAAUCGUACCCCAAACCGACACAGGUGGUCAGGUAGAGAAUACCAAGGCGCUUGAGAGAACUCGGGUGAAGGAACUAGGCAAAAUGGUGCCGUAACUUCGGGAGAAGGCACGCUGGUGUGUAGGUGAAGUCCCUGCGGAUGGAGCUGAGACCAGUCGAAGAUACCAGCUGGCUGCAACUGUUUAUUAAAAACACAGCACUGUGCAAACACGAAAGUGGACGUAUACGGUGUGACGCCUGCCCGGUGCCGGAAGGUUAAUUGAUGGGGUUAUCCGUAAGGAGAAGCUCUUGAUCGAAGCCCCGGUAAACGGCGGCCGUAACUAUAACGGUCCUAAGGUAGCGAAAUUCCUUGUCGGGUAAGUUCCGACCUGCACGAAUGGCGUAAUGAUGGCCAGGCUGUCUCCACCCGAGACUCAGUGAAAUUGAACUCGCUGUGAAGAUGCAGUGUACCCGCGGCAAGACGGAAAGACCCCGUGAACCUUUACUAUAGCUUGACACUGAACAUUGAGCCUUGAUGUGUAGGAUAGGUGGGAGGCUUUGAAGCGUGGACGCCAGUCUGCGUGGAGCCAACCUUGAAAUACCACCCUUUAAUGUUUGAUGUUCUAACGUUGGCCCCUUACCGGGGUUGCGGACAGUGUCUGGUGGGUAGUUUGACUGGGGCGGUCUCCUCCCAAAGCGUAACGGAGGAGCACGAAGGUUAGCUAAUCCUGGUCGGACAUCAGGAGGUUAGUGCAAUGGCAUAAGCUAGCUUGACUGCGAGCGUGACGGCGCGAGCAGGUGCGAAAGCAGGUCAUAGUGAUCCGGUGGUUCUGAAUGGAAGGGCCAUCGCUCAACGGAUAAAAGGUACUCCGGGGAUAACAGGCUGAUACCGCCCAAGAGUUCAUAUCGACGGCGGUGUUUGGCACCUCGAUGUCGGCUCAUCACAUCCUGGGGCUGAAGUAGGUCCCAAGGGUAUGGCUGUUCGCCAUUUAAAGUGGUACGCGAGCUGGGUUUAGAACGUCGUGAGACAGUUCGGUCCCUAUCUGCCGUGGGCGCUGGAGAAUUGAGGGGGCUGCUCCUAGUACGAGAGGACCGGAGUGGACGCAUCACUGGUGUUCGGGUUGUCAUGCCAAUGGCACUGCCCGGUAGCUAAAUGCGGAAGAGAUAAGUGCUGAAAGCAUCUAAGCACGAAACUUGCCCCGAGAUGAGUUCUCCCUGAGACUUUAAGUCUCCUGAAGGAACGUUGAAGACGACGACGUUGAUAGGCCGGGUGUGUAAGCGCAGCGAUGCGUUGAGCUAACCGGUACUAAUGAACCGUGAGGCUUAACCUU
RNAcentral lists this ribosomal RNA (2899 nucleotides) under Klebsiella pneumoniae. RNAcentral describes it as "23S ribosomal RNA". It matches the Rfam family "Bacterial large subunit ribosomal RNA". Lineage: Bacteria; Pseudomonadati; Pseudomonadota; Gammaproteobacteria; Enterobacterales; Enterobacteriaceae. The record is from RNAcentral.